This 553-nucleotide long non-coding RNA is filed under the name Phoenix dactylifera (date palm). RNAcentral describes it as "long non-coding RNA (PDAC_LNC021878)". Lineage: Eukaryota; Viridiplantae; Streptophyta; Magnoliopsida; Arecales; Arecaceae. The record is from RNAcentral.
AAAGAUGCUGGCUUUACUUGAAUACCAGCAUUUGCUAGAAACAAAGUUUAACUAGACUACAGCAAAGAUGCUGGAACCGAGAAUUCAGGCAUCAAUGGCAAUAAGAACAUAACAAACAUUUCAUGCAGCAGAAAGACACGGAGAAUUAGUAGCAACUAGCAAACAAUAACAGGAUAUCUGACAUCAAGCAUCAAUUACCAGUAUGUCAUUUUAUUAAAACAUUUAUUUGCUAUGAAUUAUUGCAUCUAUAUUGUUCAUCUUUCUGAGAAGCUAAUUACUGAAAACAGUUAAUGUCGCAUGAAUACUUCUGCUUUCCACUUAAUAUUUACUUCUUGUUUUUUCAAAAAUGAUAUUUUAUUAUACUUAACUAACACAAAGAGGUUUGACAUCACAAAGUAAAUUGAAGCAUAUAUUCCCAAUACAUAAGUUUUGAAUCCAUGUAAUGUUUAUUGUAAGUAUCACUACACACAAAUAAAGGAGGAAUAUUACAUUGGCUUACAAAAUAAUAGGAAUCAAUUUUCUGACUUGCCUUUCGUGCUUUAAUGAGUCGUCU